UUCCAGCUCCAAUAGCGUAUAUUAAAGUUGUUGCAGUUAAAAAGCUCGUAGUUGAAUUUCGGGGUUAGUAGGUUGGUCAUGCCUCUGGUAUGUACUGAUCUCACUGAUUCCUCCUUCCUUAUGAACCGUAAUGCCAUUAAUUUGGUGUUGCGGGGAAUUUGGACUGUUACUUUGAAAAAAUUAGAGUGUUUAAAGCAGGCUAACGCUUGAAUACAUUAGCAUGGAAUAAUGAAAUAGGACGUUCGAUCUUAUUUUGUUGGUUUCUAGGAUUGACGUAAUGAUUAAUAGGGAUAGUUGGGGGCAUUAGUAUUCAAUUGUCAGAGGUGAAAUUCUUGGAUUUAUUGAAGACUAACUACUGCGAAAGCAUUUGCCAAGGAUGUUUUCAUUAAUCAAGAACGAAAGUUAGGGGAUCGAAGACGAUCAGAUACCGUCGUAGUCUUAACCAUAAACUAUGCGACUAGGGAUCGG
RNAcentral lists this ribosomal RNA (468 nucleotides) under uncultured Glomus. RNAcentral describes it as "SSU rRNA". It matches the Rfam family "Eukaryotic small subunit ribosomal RNA", at positions 583 to 1056 of the family's 1831-position model. Lineage: Eukaryota; Fungi; Glomeromycota; Glomeromycetes; Glomerales; Glomeraceae. The record is from RNAcentral.